GUGCCAGCAGCCGCGGUAAUACGAAGGGUGCAAGCGUUACUCGGAAUUACUGGGCGUAAAGCGUGCGUAGGUGGUCGUUUAAGUCCGUUGUGAAAGCCCUGGGCUCAACCUGGGAACUGCAGUGGAUACUGGGCGACUAGAGUGUGGUAGAGGGUAGCGGAAUUCCUGGUGUAGCAGUGAAAUGCGUAGAGAUCAGGAGGAACAUCCAUGGCGAAGGCAGCUACCUGGACCAACACUGACACUGAGGCACGAAAGCGUGGGGAGCAAACAGGAUUAGAUACCCUGGUAGUCCACGCCCUAAACGAUGCGAACUGGAUGUUGGGUGCAAUUUGGCACGCAGUAUCGAAGCUAACGCGUUAAGUUCGCCGCCUGGGGAGUACGGUCGCAAGACUGAAACUCAAAGGAAUUGACGGGGGCCCGCACAAGCGGUGGAGUAUGUGGUUUAAUUCGAUGCAACGCGAAGAACCUUACCAGG
Molecule: ribosomal RNA, 475 nt
Filed under: Lysobacteraceae bacterium enrichment culture
Lineage: Bacteria; Pseudomonadati; Pseudomonadota; Gammaproteobacteria; Lysobacterales; Lysobacteraceae
Description: bacterial SSU rRNA
Rfam family: Bacterial small subunit ribosomal RNA
Source: RNAcentral